RNAcentral lists this ribosomal RNA (452 nucleotides) under uncultured bacterium. RNAcentral describes it as "bacterial SSU rRNA". It matches the Rfam family "Bacterial small subunit ribosomal RNA", at positions 340 to 785 of the family's 1533-position model. The record is from RNAcentral.
UACGGAAGGCAGCAGUGGGGAAUAUUGCACAAUGGGCGCAAGCCUGAUGCAGCCAUGCCGCGUGUAUGAAAAAGGCCUUCGGGUUGUAAAGUACUUUCAGUCGUGAGGAAGGUGUUAAGGUUAAUAACCUUAGCAAUUGACGUUAGCGACAGAAGAAGCACCGGCUAACUCCGUGCCAGCAGCCGCGGUAAUACGGAGGGUGCGAGCGUUAAUCGGAAUUACUGGGCGUAAAGGGCACGCAGGCGGUUAGUUAAGUUGGAUGUGAAAUCCCCGGGCUUAACCUGGGAAUGGCAUUCAAGACUGGUUAGCUAGAGUCUUGUAGAGGGGGUAGAAUUCCAUGUGUAGCGGUGAAAUGCGUAGAGAUGUGGAGGAAUACCGGUGGCGAAGGCGGCCCCUGGACAAAGACUGACGCUCAUGUGCGAAAGCGUGGGGAGCAAACAGGGAUUAGAUAC